This 22-nucleotide microRNA is filed under the name Parasteatoda tepidariorum (common house spider). Its description in RNAcentral is "pte-miR-11951b-3p". Lineage: Eukaryota; Metazoa; Arthropoda; Arachnida; Araneae; Theridiidae. The record is from miRBase by way of RNAcentral.
CAUUUUAUCUCGAGGGCUUAUG